ACGCACGCUUGCGGCGUGCUUCACACCUGCCAGUCGAACGGAAAGGCCCUGCUUUUGUGGGGUGCUCGAGUGGCGAACGGGUGAGUAACACGUGAGUAACCUGCCCUUGACUUUGGGAUAACUUCAGGAAACUGGGGCUAAUACCGGAUAGGAGCUCCUGCUGCAUGGUGGGGGUUGGAAAGUUUCGGCGGUUGGGGAUGGACUCGCGGCUUAUCAGCUUGUUGGUGGGGUAGUGGCUUACCAAGGCUUUGACGGGUAGCCGGCCUGAGAGGGUGACCGGCCACAUUGGGACUGAGAUACGGCCCAGACUCCUACGGGAGGCAGCAGUGGGGAAUAUUGCACAAUGGGCGGAAGCCUGAUGCAGCAACGCCGCGUGCGGGAUGACGGCCUUCGGGUUGUAAACCGCUUUCGCCUGUGACGAAGCGUGAGUGACGGUAAUGGGUAAAGAAGCACCGGCUAACUACGUG
Molecule: ribosomal RNA, 467 nt
Filed under: uncultured bacterium
Lineage: Bacteria
Description: partial 16S ribosomal RNA
Rfam family: Bacterial small subunit ribosomal RNA
Source: RNAcentral